UUCGCUUCUCGGCCUUAUGGCUAAGAUCAAAGUGUAGUAUCUGUAUGUCUGUCUGUCUGUCACAUGCACUUUUCUCAGAAACAGCUAUACCGAUU
Molecule: small nuclear RNA, 95 nt
Organism: Hermetia illucens (black soldier fly)
Lineage: Eukaryota; Metazoa; Arthropoda; Insecta; Diptera; Stratiomyidae
Product: U2 spliceosomal RNA
Exons: 1
Source: RefSeq, a predicted model, not a curated record